UACUUGCAAGCAAAAUAACGAUUGCUUCCUGGCAUGAAAUUGCCAGCUAAGGCAAACAAGGGAUGUGGAUGCCUACAUAAACUGUACUUAGCGUGUAAAGGCACGCGAUAAGAAUAUAGAUAUGCGACAUCAGGUGCAUUUUGUUGCGACCGCUGGCCACCGCCAAAAAAAUGUCGUCCCUUUGCUAUAAUAUUAACAGCUCACCACCAUGCAUGCUGUCAUCACUGAAAAGGAUGACCUUGACUCACUCCAAUCAGAGGGCUGGGUGAGUACACGUGAAAAAGCUUCCUUACGUCAGCGGCACCUGUAGUCGAGCUUCGAAACGAGUGGACGAAAUCCCCUUUCUUAGGCGCUGAAGGAACAAAGUACGAAGGAAGACAUAAAGACGCGUUGCCCAGCAUUCCGAUCACUCGCAACUUUCUCAGCUGGCUGAAGGCUGCCUGGAAGUUCUUCAACUCGUCUGUCCUAAAGCCCCGUCUCCGAGCCUACCGCGACGACGCCACGAUGCAGCCAUUUUCUGCCGUCGCCAUGAAGCUCUUCUUGUUCGCCGCCAUAUUGGCUGCAAUGCUGUUGCUUGUCCAAGGGCAAACUCUUGACUACAUACGCGGUGGCGGAGGGGGAGGUCCCAAACACACUUGAGUCUGCUGAUGGCACCCUCCGAUUUUACAAGGCUCAACCGACAACACUGACAUGGACGACACAAGGUCAUUCCACUUGGCUGAGCACUACAACGAUGUCGUAUGCAUCUUCGUGAGCAUUCAAUAAAGCACUGCAACGCUGCAAAAAAAA
This is a long non-coding RNA of Dermacentor albipictus, 789 nucleotides long. RefSeq lists it as uncharacterized. NCBI's taxonomy places the organism in Eukaryota, Metazoa, Arthropoda, Arachnida, Ixodida, Ixodidae. The record is from RefSeq and is a predicted model, not a curated record.